GUCUGUCUCAAUGAAGAUAUUGGUUGUGCAGUACUUGCGAGUAAAGUGGUGGAGAGUAUCAUUCCAUUAAUUCAUCAUCCUUUGUACCAUCUGGUUCAUCAUUAACUGUAGCCUGAUUGAUAAUUUCUUCAAGAUGGAAAGUCUCAUUUGUUAUCAAUUGGUUGUCAAUGGAUAUACAUCAUUUUUAUUGGUUCAUUAAAUGGGAGUUUUUCAAUUUAAAUGGCACGAAAAGCCAGAAAAAAGAACCCAUUAUGUGAUGGGAUAAUGUUUAAAACAAUAGCUUACUAGGCGUGUUUUUUAAAAUACCUACAGGUAUCCAGAAAUGGAAAAAAUAAACGCAUUAUGUGGGAACAUCUGAACGAGGUUUUUCUAUACUUAAAAAAAUAUAGUUUAAAAUCAAAAAUCACAAAAAUAUUUUGAAGAUUGCGAAACGCUUAGAAACAGUUAAU
Molecule: non-coding RNA, 449 nt
Organism: Cinara cedri
Lineage: Eukaryota; Metazoa; Arthropoda; Insecta; Hemiptera; Aphididae
Source: the annotation of a GenBank genome assembly